AGAGUUGAUUAUGGCUCAGGAUGAACGCUAGCUACAGGCUUAACACAUGCAAGUCGAGGGGCAUCAUGGAGUUGCUUGCAAACUCUGAUGGCGACCGGCGCACGGGUGAGUAACGCGUAUCCAACCUUCCCUAUAGUAGAGGAUAGCCCGGCGAAAGUCGGAUUAAUACUCUAUGUUUUCCGUUGCAGACAUCUAAGAUGGAACAAAGGCUUGCCGCUAUAGGAUGGGGGAUGCGUCUGAUUAGGUAGUCGGCGGGGUAACGGCCCACCGAGCCAUCGAUCAGUAGGGGUUCUGAGAGGAAGGUCCCCCACAUUGGAACUGAGACACGGUCCAAACUCCUACGGGAGGCAGCAGUGAGGAAUAUUGGUCAAUGGGCGAGAGCCUGAACCAGCCAAGUAGCCGUGCAGGACGACGGCCCUAUGGGUUGUAAACUGCUUUUAUGCGGGGAUAAAGUUCACUACGUGUAGUGUUUUGUAGGUACCGCAUGAAUAAGGACCGGCUAAUUCCGUGCCAGCCGCGGC
RNAcentral lists this ribosomal RNA (521 nucleotides) under uncultured bacterium. Its description in RNAcentral is "bacterial SSU rRNA". It matches the Rfam family "Bacterial small subunit ribosomal RNA", at positions 8 to 518 of the family's 1533-position model. The record is from RNAcentral.